Molecule: ribosomal RNA, 378 nt
Filed under: Triticum aestivum (bread wheat)
Lineage: Eukaryota; Viridiplantae; Streptophyta; Magnoliopsida; Poales; Poaceae
Description: partial small subunit ribosomal RNA
Source: RNAcentral
CCGCCCCAACCAAUGCACUACUGCGGCCUCCACCCAGACCACUGACACCGUCGCCCCCCACCAUCGCAGCUCCUCUGCCGCACCAAGCACCCACUGUUGCUUCCUCCACCCAGACCACUGCUGCCGUCGCCCCCAACCACAACAGAGCGGCACCGCCGAGCACCAAUUGACACGGAGCAUCACAUCGCCGAGCCACUCCACCGGUGACCAUCCUCCUCCGCUGUACGCCGUCGUUUAUCAGCUACCACCCUCCUCGCGAGCUUCCUCCCCCAAGCUGGCCCUCUGCACAAGCUCACCCGAGCACCAAGGAGCUCCUCCGUUGGAAGUCAAUUAAUGGCAAAUGCAGCAAUGGGUUGCGACCACAAGCAAGCUGAGGAG